RNAcentral lists this long non-coding RNA (6421 nucleotides) under Triticum aestivum (bread wheat). RNAcentral's name for it is "long non-coding RNA (TAES_LNC027367)". Lineage: Eukaryota; Viridiplantae; Streptophyta; Magnoliopsida; Poales; Poaceae. The record is from RNAcentral.
CGGACAAGAAGGAUGAACAUUGGAGCAUGGUCAAGCACAGAGAUGAAGGUGCGUGCGAAGAGAACAAGAACGGAGGUUCAAGUGGAGAUUUUUGGACUUUGAAGCACCACCAUGAUGACAUACAAGAAGAUGGACGAAAUAUACAAGAUGUCCUUUCAUAAAUUUCGUCCAUACCUUAUUAUUGGUGGUGCGCCAUCUUAUUUUGGGCCAGGCCCAUGUAAUCUAUUUUUAGAGUCCAUAUUGUAGGGGAAACGACUUAGGAGGUGUUUUAGUCCCACAUUGCCUGGGGUGGACGAAAUCCCCUCUCUUUUCGCUAUAAAUAUAGCCCUUAAGUCACCACUUAGACUUGGGUUUUAUUUAGUUAAAAGUUAGCCAUCGCUGCAACUUCAUGUACUUCGUUUGUCUCCAACGACCAGAUCAAGACCGCUUAUGAAACCCCACUUUUAUCAAUACUUCAUCCAUAUUCGCAAUAUUGAGAUUGCUUAAUCAUAUUCUUGCUUGUUCUUCGAUUGCUUGCAGGAAUAGACCUUUGUGGUCAGGUAGAUCGCGCUCCGACGUGGUCAAUAACCUCUCAGAGUUGGUUUAGUGAUUGCUAAGGCGCAGCUUCGUUACACGUUCGUAGUUGGAUCAUCAAAGUCGUCUCCACUAAAUCGAUAGUUAUCAUCUCAUCGAAAGAUUGAGCCCCUCGCCUCUAUCAAGUGGUAUCAGUUUUCAGGUUGCUCGGUGAGAUUUUACAGUUUUUCGUAGUUUAGAUCGAGUCUGUUCGUCAUACCUAUAGUCCACAAAAAAGCCACAAAAAAGAUAGAUUACUUCAUCAUAUCCUAGAAAGUCUGAGCCUUUCACUAUUAUCACUUAGUUUUUGCAUUGUUGAAUUCUCGGUUAUAUCGUAUGUCAAGUUGUUGGUUUUAGUGUCUAAAUUUUUAGAGUUUCGGGUUCUAGUCACGUUUCGUUCACGCCACAUCCCUAUAGACCAUCAUCCACUUUGUUUCAUCGUCCGCUGCCAUUUACUUUCAUUACCGCCGUUGUGAGCAUCAUCACAUUGUUCAUCUAGGAGCUUGAUUCAUCACGUGAGAAAAAAGGAACUAAGAAAGAAGGCAGAUCAGAUUGGUUUUGCAAGAAGUGGAGACCGAAGCAAUAAAAAAAAAAGAGACCGCAGAAACACAUUUUUCGGCCAAGAAGCAAUUUAAUAUGGAGAUAUUGCUGGACGUUUUUUUAUCUUAAAAAGGAAAGAAAAGGAGAGGAUACGGGCUAGAGUUUGUUUGGAAAGUUCAGAUCACAAAAGGAGCAAUUCCAUCUAUUGUAUUUGGAUUUGGAAAUCUGCACGACCAGAAGAAAAUAAAAGAAGUAGAAGAGAGAGAAUAAGGAAGACAGAAAAUAAAAUAAGGCAGGGAAGGGCUUGUGGAUUUGUGAUUUAGAAGUUCCUCCUCACGUUGGAGAUCAAGAAAGAAAGUACAAGUUGGCUGAUUCGGUUGUGAUUCCAAAAAAAAGGUGAGAGUUUGAGAGUAGUACUCCACGUCAGAAUAAGGGAGAGAAAAAAGAUAAAGAGGAAAAGGGAGACGUGGUGUGUUCCUGGUUUGGUAACUUCGGAUCAGCAACAAGAAAAGAAAAAAAAGCAGAAUAAUAGGGCAAGUUUGGUGCGCCCUAAACCACAGACGGAGUAGUUGGCAAGCUCAUGUUUGGAAAAAAUAAAGAAGGGGCACGCUUUGAUAUAAAAAAAACAGAUCGCAUGGCAUUUGGAAGUAUUCCCACGUGAGUGUUUUUGGAAGGAGAUAAAUAUUUCAAGUAAAGUCUGCACAUAAAUCACGGAGAGGUGGUUGUUUCCUCGUUUGGCAAGAGGGUUGAUUGUUUCCACGUGAAGUUUGACUUGGAAAGAAAGGAGGUAACGGACAAUCAGAUUUGCCUUGCUCGUUUGAGAGAGAAAAACCUGCUGGGCGCAUACAUGGUAAGAGAAGGAAACUUGAAGGAGAAUAGGCAAGUUUGUUCCACCGCUUGAAAAAAAAAAGCGUCCUUGUUUGAAGAGAGCAAGUCCAUUCGGUUGAUCUAUACACACACAAAAAUAAAAUCGGUGGCAGGUUUCCAAGUCUGGACGUGUCUUUGGAGGAAAAAAAAGAAGGUUUGGUUCGGCUACCAAAUAACUCACUGAUUCCUGCCUUUUGGAAGAUUAUUUCUUUUGGAAAGUUGGAAUGACACUAUUUUGGCUUCCAUAAAAUCUGUAGUAUGUGAUACUGGUUUAUUUGGAAGGAGCACUGAUCACUUGAAGGUUGGAAAGAAAGAGAAAGGGUAAUGUUUGUAGCCGGGGCGCCGGUCGAACCGUUGCGUCGGUCUUAUGCGCGUCGUCUGAUGCGCUAGAUCAAACACCCACGUUUUCUCCUCAACCGCACCCACGUCCACGUGCUGCUGGGGUCCACGCACCGCUUUGGGUGCAGCUUAUCCCUUCGCUUGCGUCGCCUCCUUCUCCACAACUCGUUCUUCUUCUUUUCCCAUCCACAUUCAAUCCUUGCUGCCGCACGGCGGCGACCAACGCGGAGAGGAGAUGCAGUUUUUGGUGGCAAACCACUGGCGGCAAGCAGCAACCCGCGACGACGGCGACGGCGACAAGUGCUGCAACCAGGACGGACACAAGUGCUGGAGACCCCGCGGCGGCCGGCGUUCAAGAUCUCAGCCAGUUUUUUUUUGCUGCAACCCAGUGUUUUUUUGCUGGAACCAGCUUCAAAUUUUGCUACCAAGUAUUUGGGUUUUUGUUUGAAGUGAACCAAUUUUUUUGCUUCCAUGCUUCUUCCCCUGCUGGAACCCGUGUAUUUUUUGCUACAACUGUCUUCAAUUUUUGCUGGAACUAAUAUAUUUUUUGCUUCCAAGUCAUUUUUGCUGGAACCAUUGUAUCACUUUUGCUACAAGCGUUUCGAUUUUUUGCUACUACCGCCGUGUUGAUUUGUUACAUCAAUUUUUUCAUGAGGUCACGGAGACCCACAACGUUGUGUUUUUUGCUGCGACCACUGUCGAUUUUGCUACUGCCGGUGUCGACAUUUGCUGCUUUCACACGUGUGCGAAUAUGGGCUGCAAGCAAAAACGGCGGCGAGCAGUAACCUGGGACGACGGCGAGCAGCAACCUGGGACGACGGCGAUGCUAUUUUGCUGCAACCUCCGUCAGUUUUUGCUACAUCUGGGCAGAUUUUUUGUUACAUCCGUUUUGGAUGGCAGAGACCAGUGGUCAUCGUUCGCGGGGAAACCUAUGCAACGAGUGUCAGCCGCGAGGGACGGGAGCUGCAACCGGUGAUGACCUGCGGGACCAACAGUUCUACGAAUCAGGCGAGUAGUGCUCAUCACGGACGCUUUUUCAAGCUCGCCCGCGACGUGCUUCGAGCUCGCCGGCAGCGGGGUCGGCGCGGUCACCCUGGGACACGCGAGGGUGCACUAGCGGGGGAGCUCCUCCUCGAGCUGAGUCGGUCGCCGCCGCCGUGGAUUCGGGAUGGGGCGACGCGGGGGGAACGCAAAUCAUUUUUGUUUCUAGCUGUGGCCUGGGGCUCUGACUCAGAUCUGACGGGCCUUAAUUGCUGCAUCGGAUGGCUGGUGGCGGACCGGCCGAAAAUUUCGGCCGGUGCACCGGUGCCUAGCAGUCGCCAAAGAGAAAACAGGAAAGUAAGAGAGAGAAGUGCAGCGGUUGCCUUUUCCCUUGGUGGUGUUUGCUUAAAAAAAGAGCAGGACUAGCUAAUUGAAGGAGUGUGGUACGUGACUACUUGUGCCUAAAGAAAAAAAAAUUGACUUGGUUAGGGAGAGGGCCACAAGAUUUCUCUGCUUCUCAUUGGUUUUGGUCACACACGUUUUUGAUUGCUCUAUUGUCGAGGGUGUUCGUUUAUCAGUCGCAUCCAUCGUUGCGUCUGCCAGUGCAAACACAUUUUAAUUAUUAUUUUUGUUAACGUGGCAUUGUGAAUUCAUUUGUGUUAUAGGCUCGCGUCUCUAAUACGGUCUAGUCUAGGACCAGCACUCGAUCACUUUGAACGAAUUUUCGGCUUGCAUUCAUUAACGUGGUUGUAGCAUUUGUUUUUCACAUAUAUAAAGCCAACCCAGGUCCACAUAUUUCUACGUCGUGCAUACAUACGCUUACCUGGCAAUCGCUUUACUUAACCUUUGGAGUUGUUUGACACCGUUGGUUGCCGGUCACCGCCUGCUGCAUGGUAAGAACUUGCAAGACUUUGAUUUUUGCUCUACUGUGAGCGUUUUACCACCACCUCCCAGUAGUUCAUAGGAACAUUAUGUUUGGAUUUUGUUUCUUAUUUCUCUAAUCAUGACAGGAUCUAGAGUCAAUUCAUGGGCUUUGUCGAUCGCGGAAGACGUGCCACCACCUAUGCAAAUACCACAACUGUCACGAGAGGUGCACAAACAUCCAAAUGCACAUGAUCAAGUUCAUGUUUCAAUACCAUCAUUUAAUGGCCGUUUUAGACCAUCUUUAUAUAUUAAAUGGGAGUUCGACAUAAAUAAUAUAUUUGGUUCCCAUAUUUUUUAUGAACGUAAAAAAGUUACGGUUGCGGUUGGUUCUUUCACUGGUUAUGCUUUAGUUUGGUGGAGUGAAUAUUGUCGGUUACACCCUGAUUAUGUACCUAAUACUUGGAAUGAUCUAAAACUUGUCAUGAGAUAUAUAUUUGUCGAUGUAUAUUAUAUUCGUGGCAUGAUUAAAAAACUACAACAUUUAAAACAAGGUAGUGACACCGUAACAAAAUAUUAUGAUGAUUUACAAACUACCUUGUUGCACUCAUUUUUAGAGGAAACUGAAGAUGAUUUUAUGGAUAGAUUUUGGGGAGGGUUAAACCAUGAUACUCAGGAGAUACUAAUGCACGAAGAGUGUUAUCCUAUGGACCGUUUGUUUCAUCUUGCUUGCACAGCUGAACAGGAAAUAAAACGACGUGUUGACCACAAGAAGAACAAUCGCAAGGUGCACAUUCCAAGAGUUGAUACAGUUGCCCCUUCAACUACUAGGCAUACUACGACAACCACAUUCGUUGUAGUGAGGACUGGAUCACCUCCACCAUGUGACACAUCACCAUCGAGAGUGCCUACAUCAUCUGAGUUGAUCAUAAGAGGUAAUGACAAAGGUAUUGAUCUUCCACCUCCACAUGAGUAUGAUGAAUGUCUUGCCAAUUUAAAUGCACCAUGCGAUGAGCUACCUACUACUUUGAUCACACCAGCUAUUUUAGAGGACUAUGUUGAUGAUUUGACUUUGCCAUGUGAUCAAACAAUUUUGAGUGAGCCCAUUGAAUUAACUAUUGGUGCAAAAGAACCAUGUGAAUCAGAGAAUAAAUCAGAUUGGGGUCAAAUACAUUUGAAAAUAAUUUUUUCAAUGUUUAAUCAUUUUAAUAUGACCUCCAAUCUUGGUGAUGAUUCUGUGUCGAAUAAAUUGUUGCAUGUUUGCUUAUUUAAGCAUGUUAUAGCAUGUAAUUUUGAAUCAAUUAAAGUUUAUUCACAGAUGUUGGGAUCGUUUAAUGAUAAGCAUCGUCAAUCUUUUGAUAUCAAUAAGAGCUUCCCGUAUAUGUGCAAACUGAGUUGUAAUAUUUUCAUGCCUUUCUCUUCUUGUGAUAAUAUAUUGGCUUUAUAUUUCACGGCUUUUGAAGGGUGCUCUUGUAUAACUGUGUCACAUGUGCCCCAACUGAGAUCAGUAAAAAUGGAUGACAUAUACAUAUACAACGUGUACACCUUGUCUCUUUUGUUAGCCACAUUUUAGAUUAAGCAACAUCGAUGACAGCUUUGUUUUCAAGAAGGGGAGGAUGAUAAGGACAUGGCUACCAAAGUUACACCCAUAUCCCCUGCUGUUUUACCUCUUGGAACAAUUGCUAGAGCUCGCAUACGCCGAUUAAAUUAUCAGGUACUUUUGUUUCUUGGUGAUGUUUCGAGUGUUCAUGAGAAUAUGAUGAUGCCUAACUUAGAUACAUUUGUGUUGCUUGCGGUUGAAGGGCCUAGCACGGACAAGAAGGAUGAACAUUGAAGCAUGGUCAAGCACAGAGAUGAAGGUGCGUGCGAAGAGAACAAGAACAGAGGUUCAAGUGGAGACUUUUGGACUUUGAAGCCACCAUGAUGACAUACAAGAAGAUGGACGAAAUAUACAAGAUGUCCUUUCAUAAAUUUCGUCCAUACCUUAUUAUUGGUGUUGCGCCAUCUUAUUUUUGGCCAGGCCCAUGUAAUCUAUUUUUAGAGUCCAUAUUGUAGGGGAAACGACUUAGGAGGUGUUUUAGUCCCGCGUUGCCUGCGGUGGACGAAAUCCCCUCUCUUUUCCCUAUAAAUAUUGCCCUUAGGGGGUGUUUAGAUAGAUAGAAUAUAUAGAACGCAUUCUCCACAAAUCAGAAAAACCGUCUAACCGAAUAAAAUCUUGUUUGUGUACCCUAACUAAUAUGUGGAUAUACAGAACGCGGUUCCUGGAAAUCCAGAAUUUCAG